ACAUCGGUAGCACAGUGGUUAAUGCGAUCUGCCGGAAACAGAGAGACGCGGGUUCAAUUCCCGCCCGAUGUC
This is a non-coding RNA of Nippostrongylus brasiliensis, 72 nucleotides long. The record is from Rfam. Lineage: Eukaryota; Metazoa; Nematoda; Chromadorea; Rhabditida; Heligmosomidae.